This 6073-nucleotide long non-coding RNA is filed under the name Homo sapiens (human). Its description in RNAcentral is "HSALNT0334424". Lineage: Eukaryota; Metazoa; Chordata; Mammalia; Primates; Hominidae. The record is from RNAcentral.
CCUUUUAGAAAGACUUCCAUCAACAUGAGGUGAAACAAAUAUAGUUUUCUAGAUAACCUUCUCUUAAUCAUAAAAUUCAAUUAACUUGAAAACCUUCUCUCCAAAUAUCCUGCUUAAGAAGAUUUACUGUGCUUGUCAGGCUUUGGCGCCCUGGCUGAAAUUUCUUUGCUUAGUUAUGCUGCUAUGCAGUUCACUCCAGAUCAGUGUAUCAGGGAUGACAAAACAGUGGCACAUUCCAAGUGUCAUUCCUCAGUGUUCUUUCUGUGAGCUUGUUCUUUACCAUGGGGCUUUUUGUGUUGUAGAACACUUCUGGAUUGAAGAAAACAUUCUAACAAGGACUAGAAAAUUCCAACUCUACUUCCUAAAAUUGCGCUAUAGAACAGUGUUAAGUGAAUGCCUCAGAGAGCCACAAAUAACUUGCAGGAAUGCAUAGGGUGUCUUCCCACAACCACAGGCAGUGGAGCCUCAGUCUGUGAAACAAACAGCUCCUACCACCACGGCUGCCUUACAGAGAGGCUUAUGCCAAAGUAAUACUCUUAGCUUCUUGACCUUGAUAUUUUAAAUUUUAUAACCACAGUGACAAUCUUUAACAUCAUGUAUUAUUUAAAGCACAGGGAUGGUUUUAUAUGGAGUUAAAUGGACCUAGGAGUAAGGCUGCAUUCCUUCUAAACAUACAGUGUUGAAGUGAGCCUUGCUUGAGAAAGGAGGUUUUGGCUUAGAGGGAGACUGAGUCUUAGCUGAGUUCACCUGAGAAAUAACCAGGUUUUAAUCUUUUCAGACGGGGCAAUAUAAAAUAGUUCUUAUUAGCAUGGAAAAGGUCACUUUUGAAAGAUCGAUUCACCUUCACAGAUGAUUUAUCACUGCUUUGCAAACAAAAGAUUUUUUUUUAAUAACUUAUUUAAUAACACAGAUCCUAUGAGAAAACCAAAGUUUAGAGUUGACCCAGAUUUCUGUGAUGUUCUUCCCAUUUGAAUUCUGAAAUAAAUAAAGAAGGAACAAACAAGCAUGUGUAAUUAGUGAAGAGCAAUUUCAGUAAACAUAUUCCCUAGGGUACUCUAUUUUGAGUCACUGCUUUUUCCUUUUGAUGUACAAAGGAUGUACAUUGUCUAUGUAGGGCAAUUAUGGGAACGUCCCAACUUUGGCAUGCUUUCCAGAAUAAGCAACUUUACAGGAAGAUGGAUGAAGACAACAACUCAUCUUCACGUCAACUGUAAAUUUCUCUCUAUUUGUGUUGCAAAUGUUGAAACUAAAUUUAAACAUUGCUUGGUGUGAGGGCCUUCCAGAGGCCACAUUCUCAUGGAAUACUUUGUAUCCCACUUACUUUCUUCUGUCAGACCCUAUGAAUGAUUCCCAGUUCUGUAUCUAUCUUUACAGACACUCCUAGUUAGUAAAAUCCAGGCUUUGACCAGAAAGAGUCAGGACUUCCACCCACUACUGAAAAUUAUAGCUUAAUCAAUAACACAAUUAGACCUCCCCAACAAACUGGAUCCUACGUGCCUAUAUACUACUUAAGGUUCAUUUCUGGUUUAAUAAAGCUCUGUUCUCAACAUCAGUUGCUCCUUUGUGAAUUUGCUGAAAAGCUCAGACAUUUUAGCAUCUCUUAAAGUUCACAGCAAAGACAAUACUUAAUGUGUUUAAGGCCCAAUUAGUUAUAAAAUUAGGAAUUCAUAGUUCCCAUUUUUUUUAAUUGAGGACCCAAUUUUUGACAUUCAUUUAUUCAUACAGUGCCAAAUUACGACCUGUGCCAGAAUGUCAAUCUACCUGGAUAAGCAGAUACAGAUUUUACCUACUGCACUGGGCACUGUGGGGUAAUUAAUUUCUAAGUGUGUACUUUUUAAAGUGACUGUUUUUUACUUCAUAUGGACAAGGUAGAGAAAACAUUUAAAUCCCAUAGUGGUUUACUUCUGUUUUUUAUGGGUUAUCAUAAAUUGAUACAUCUUAGGGGAUACAAAUGAAUAUUAAAAAGCAAAAGAUUAAUAUUUUUCUUAAAAGGACACAUGCUACAAAACUUACUUUGUAGUUCCGACUUAAAUAUUACUGCGUAUUAUGUUUGCCAUUAGCCUACUUAUUAAAACAUUAACUAUAAACACCAGUCUUUCUUCCAGUACAGACUUGUUUUAUUCUAUUACCUUUCCUGAUUCUCUUCUGCUUUCUCAAAUCUUAAAUAAACUAGCAUAAGAAUCUCACUGUAGUAAGUAAGUCCCAAACUCUCCUACAAAUACUUUAUUUCUCAAAGGCAUAAGAAAGAGGUUUUGGUUCUAUUGUCUGAAUUCCUAUAAAUUUGCUUAAUAUGAUUUCAGCAAAUUUUUACUGAGUUCUUAUUCUGUAAAUCACUGUGUGCUUGGUGGUACAACAGGACACUAAGAUAAAUAGACAGUCCCUGGCUUCACUAAACUUCCAGUUUCACAUUCAAGUUUUAACCACCACAAGUAAAAUGCACUGAGAGGUCAUUCUCAAAGUGAGAAAGGAGGGAGAAAACAAAGCAGGCUUUUGUUUUUUUGCUUCUAAUCACAAUAUUUAAUUUGAACUUACUUACACUUUCGAAAGGCAUGAGAUUUGUCUAUUUCUCAAAGUAGGGAGGGGCAAAGAUUAAAAAAUGCUGAGAUACAUGGUUUUAUGGUUUAUGAAAUAUUUUCAUGUCUGUAUCUAAUUUGAGCCUUACCACAAUUAGUAAAAGAGUAGAUUUUGGAUUUAAAACCCAGGGCCUGUGUUCUUUUCAUUAUACUACAUUGUCUUACAAUAAACAAAACAAACCAGACAGUCCCCUGCCCCAAUUCCACCCAGAGCACUGUAGAUACACAUAUUCUCUUAGUCCUAACAAACUCAGUUCUUGCUAAACAUCACUUAAAGGGUAAAUUACAAUUUUAUUUCAAAUUUAAGCUAAAUCAGCCAGGUAUAAUACUUCCGAGUACAGACAAUGGACCUUAAAUCUAAAUCAUCUUCACUUUGGAGGCUUUCUCAACUACUGCUUAUUUUCCAAACUAACUUUAAGAAUAGUGUAUAGUAUAGAACAUUGCACCCAAAUCACUUGGGGAGCUUUAAAAGACACAGAUGCUGUAGCUCCAGUUCUUCAAAGCCAAUGGGUCUGAGUGGAGAUUAGGCUUUGGAAUGUCUUAGAAGUAUCCCAGGUGCAUAGUGAGAGCUGAGAACAGUGGUAAAAUGGAUGAGGAGAUCAUUAACAGGACCCAAUAAUGGUUUCGUCAAUAAAUGGAACAUUUUCAGAAUCUGUCAUGAUUAUGGAGUAAAUAAAUAUUUCCUAAUGGAAAUUCUAAUUUUGGCAUUUAGUAAAUUUAACAUGGAAGAGGCAGAAAUUGAAGUUUUCAGAUUGUGGCUUUUAUCCACAGCAGAUGGGUUACCUGUAUCUCUCACUUUAGGUUAUCUGUAGAUUAGGCAUUGCUUUCCGCCCCCAAGAUGCUGAGAUGCCACUGUUAGGAGCACAGUCUGUCUGACUGCCACAACAUGUUUAAUACUAUAGUGAAAAAGGAAUUUGGAAACUAAGCCUGCUAAACCAAGCUGAACAAACCCUUUACUAACAUCUAGAAUCAAGGAACAAUAGAACUUUGGAAUUGGAAAGUAUCUUUGUGAAUUCCUCUGGCCCCAUUCUUAAUUUAACAGAUGAAAAAACUAAUGCCCAGAGAGAGUGACCCAUCCACAGUCACAUGGUUUUCGCCUAGGAUUCCUGACUCAGUUUAGGGCUUGUUGCAGAUGGUUCUGAUUCUGCCCAAAGCUAUGUGUUUAGCUUCCCCGGCCUUAAUGGGGAAAACAGAUGCAGGGAAAGAAACAGUUUUUCUGGAUAAAGAACAGCCCUUGGGAGCAGAACAAAAGUGAAGAAACUGGUGGAGUUGGCGGAGGGGCGGUUAGGGGAGGGGGAAGGAAGGAACACAACUUAAUUAUGUCCGAAACAAUAUAGCUGAGCAGGUAGAGGUCAAGCCAUUAUAAGCUUUGAGUUCUACCUUGGGCUUUUCUGCUUUAUGAUUAGCCCUCCCCUGGAGAAUCACUUAAUUUUCCUGAGUGCCCAAAAUAAUAAUUCUGAUAAAUGGACAAAGCAUCAAAAUAAGAUAGAUAUACAUAGCUGAAAGGUUCUGUGGCAAAUGUAUGCAUCUUUAGGACCUUCAGGGGGUUGAUACACCAUGUGUUUUCAUGGAAGUCUUACUAUGGCUAUGCUCAGUAUCUGAUUUUGGGUUGAGCAAAUAAUAUGGCCUGCGUGGAGCUGUUUGGAGUUGGCAAGUUUGGGUUAAAUCAAGCAGUAAAAGGGACGAUAAAAAAGAUUUGGAGCAUACAUUCACCCUCUCCCAAACUACUGUUAACUCCUAAUUAACUAAGUAUAGAGUAUACAUGCUCUGUCUCUAGGAUGAUCUGUGGGCCACAGGAGCUGCCCUGUCACCAAGAGCCUGGGGUUUUCCAAAUUCUUCACAUCUUGGGAUGUGAGGGCACAGAGGGUUGAGGUUGAAAGGGAUGAAGAUGGGCACAGAGGGUUGAGGUUCUAUGCUGGCUUUGCUUUGCUGGGAGAAAAAGGUAGGGAGGUAGUAGAAUAAACUAGAAGCAACAGGCUUUCACUAACUCUUACUUGUUAACCUAAAUGUCUGGUUUAUUGGAAUACUCAGUUGAGCCACCGUUGGGAUGGUAGGUACAUUUCUGAAUUUCAUGUAUAAAUGCUGUUUAGGUCAACUAAAUUAGUCCCCCUCUCUGUCCCACCCCACUCCCAAGCUUUAUAGUAAAAAUCAGUUGUGCUUCUAACAGGCCUUUUUCAAUCUCUCUUCUGGUAGAAGAGAGACUAUGCCAAGUUGUCUCAAACUUAGGUUGUUUCAAAUUCAACUGCUCCCAUAUGUCCGAAUUCAGCCCUGGUCUCUGUGAGGUCAUUAGAUUCUGAGUCUAAGCCCUCCAUUUGCCUAAGAAGAUGACCGUGCUCUGAAAGACAUAUUGUUUUGCUUUAAUACUAUAAAUCCUGGAAGUUCAGGAGUUUCAUAUGAAAGCUAUGCAAUCGCUUUUUAAAAGAUAAAAUAUGCCCCUUUCUUUGCUGCCCUUGUGUCUGCGUGUGGGCAAGAUAUUUAAUUAUAAUGAAUAAAGCCAAAUGGUGGUCUAAGACUCUUAAAAUCAAAGUGGGAAUCAUGGCUGAAUUUCAUUAGCAAACAUAAAUACAAAUAGGCACAUCUUGUUUGCACCAUGCCAUGUGACUUUUCUCCUUUUGAUAAUUUCAUUCUAACUCUGAUAUUUCAGAGGACCUAAAUUAAACCAUAUGAUAUAUAGCACUGUAUAACAUGCAAAACUCAUCAUUAAACAUUUUUCUUUUGUAUACUUGCCCUAUGUUAUAAAUAUCCUGUCAGAAGCAGAGCCCUGAUUUAACAACAGUGGAGGGAGCCCUGCCCUUUAAAUAAGAGGUCUUCUCCGGCUGGCAGAAUGGGAAAAAAACAUAGUAUUAACUCUCAUUGUAGUCCAUGUAACCCAGAGCCCAUAAAUCUUGAGGAACUUGUCAUUUUAUGCCCGAUUUUCCCUAACUCUAUGCCAGUCUCUUCUUAUUUUAUUGAAAAUACUAACAUUGGACUUUUAUAAAUUCUUGAGUUAUUACCAAGUUGUUUUGGCAGUCUGAAUACAAAAAUCUCUAGAUUAAAUUUAGUUAUUAAAAGUUACCAUUCAUAAUUGCCCAAGUCAUUUCAAAUUAUGAGAUAUAUUAAGACUUUUUUGUUGUUGAGCAAAAUAAUUAAGUGGCUAAUAAAUACAACAUUGUAUUUUAGGAAAAAAAGGUUUUUUGUAAAUAUUAUCUUCAGCAAUUUUAUGAGACUAUGUAUAAAUUCUUUCCAUGACACUACAUGCACUUACAUACAUCUUUGUUUAAUAGUAACUUAACACCAAUAAUAUUAAACUUGUCUUCAGCUACUUUUAUAUUAAAGACAAUCAAAACAAAUGUCUCAAAUUAUUCCAAGCUGCAAACACAUAUAAGUAAACAUUUUAGGUUCACAUACUGUUACCAAAAAUUAGAAUCAAUAGUAGGUUUGUAAUAGAUAACAUCAAAUACUCUUUUUUUUACAAUCUUGGUUUUGUAGUCAUGUUACUCAACUGCAUUUUCAAGGUCUUA